Molecule: ribosomal RNA, 895 nt
Filed under: Bursaphelenchus sp. EFu1
Lineage: Eukaryota; Metazoa; Nematoda; Chromadorea; Rhabditida; Aphelenchoididae
Description: SSU rRNA
Rfam family: Eukaryotic small subunit ribosomal RNA
Source: RNAcentral
AAAGAUUAAGCCAUGCAUGUCUAAGUGGAGUAUUAUAUAGCGAAACUGCGAACGGCUCAUUACAACAGAUAUAAUUUACUAGUUCUUGUUUCUAUAUGGAUAACUGCGGUAAUUCUGGAGCCAAUACAUGCAUCAAGCCUUGGCCUUCGGGUUAGGGUGCAAUUAUUGGAGCAAAACCAGUCUCGUACUGUUUGCUAACUCAGGAUAAUUCUGCAUAUCGCAUGGUCUUGUACCGGCGAAGUUUCUUUCAAGUAUCUGCUUUAUCAACUAUCGUUGGUAGUUUAUUGGUCUACCAUGGUGUUGACGGGUAACGGAGAAUCAGGGUUUGACUCCGGAGAGGGAGCCUUAGAAACGGCUACCAUGUCUAAGGAUAGCAGCAGGCGCGAAAAUUACCCAAUAUCAAAACGAUGAGGUAGUGACGAGAAAUAACAAGAUCGUUCUCUUUGAGAUCGAUUAUUGGAAUGAGUACAAUCCAGAAAUUUUAACGAGUACCUACGAGAGGGCAAGUCUGGUGCCAGCAGCCGCGGUAAUUCCAGCUCUCGUAAUGUAUAGAAUUAUUGUUGCGAUUAAAAAGUUCGUAGUUGGAUUGCAACGCAGGUAUGGGUCCACCUUCUGGGUGCGUACUCAAUGCUUGCAUUUUGCAUGUUUUUGCGGCGUCACUUCGGUGGCGUUCGUGAUGCAUGCAGGAUUACUUUGAACGGCUCAAGUGCUUAAAGCAAGUCUUAUGACUGAAUACCGGUGCAUGGAAUAAUGGAACAAGGUUGUGGCUGAGUUUUAUUGGUCUUGUCGGCCAAAACAAUGGUUAACAGGAACAGCCGGGGGCAUUCGUAUCGCUGCGCGAGAGGUGAAAUUCGUGGACCGUAGCGAGACGUCCUACAGCGAAAGCAUUUGCCAA